UUUUUAUUAUCAGAAAUUUUUAUCAAUAAAAAUAAAAACUAGAAAAUUGAAAUUGAAAUUUGAAAUCGAAUAAUAUUCAAUAUUCAUCUUCAUUAAAUCCCCGAGCUUGAUACAAAAUCCAUUUCAGAGCGAUGUAUCAUCAUCGAGUCAAGUAUAGAGAUACCGAAACCAAGAUCACCUGAGAGCUGAAAAAUGUUCCAGUAUCAACUCGAAAGUAUCGAGAUGGAGACUGGAGUUCAAAUAAUCCCAGAGCUAAACAGCUAAAGCCUCGAAACAAAAAUAUAACGAGUUCUGCAUCGAACAUCUCCUAAGAAUUCCUUCCAAAGCUGCCGAAGAAUCGUUCUAAAAUAUGAAACCGAAUACCGCUUUGCAGAUCGAAUUGGCAACUCGAAGACGUAUUUUUGCACCUCACAUGAUGUAAUUAUCUGUUGGACGAUUUAAUCCCAAGGUACUCCGGUUGAAGUCUGAAGAAUUUCCUCAUCUUCCAAAUCUAUCACUGAAAAAAAAAAAACCCUUGAUUUCCAAUUAGAAACGAUAUCGAAUGACGAACAUGAUAGAUCGCUAAAGGAAUAGUAAAUGCAGUAGCCAACAGCACAAACCGGUACCUAAGAAUGGAACGUGGAUAAGGAUUAAUUUAAUAUGUAUCAUUAUUGGAGCAUUGAGUUUAAUUUCGUAUGAAUUUUGUUCAUCACGACGUAAUUCUUUCGAUGAAAGUUGAUGUGCCAUCGUGAAGAGAUGCUACUUCGAAUAACGUUUCCAACGACUAGGGUACUUGAGCACUACUGAACAGUGAACACUGCUCGUGUCUAGAUGGGACCAGAUAGGUGCAGAAAAAAGUAUCAAUCUAAGAUCUGUUCGAAAAAGGAUUUUUUAAAACAGUUUUACAAAUGUAAUUUUUGAUCGAUUCACUUUUAGCACAUCUCAUGGGGAACUUCCGCAUGAUUAAGAAUGUUGACAGGGAUUUUAUGACUUGAUCAAAAUCUAGGACAUAUUAUUAUUAUUUUUUUAAUGAGCUGGAUGUCCAAUUUUUUUAAAGCUUUCCUCUCUUUUCCUAGGGUUCAUCUCUAUUUCCAAAAGAAAUUGCUAUCUUUGUACGUACUUAUAUGACCCACGAUGAAAUAAUUUUUAAAAUAAAAUCUGUACAUUGAAA
Long non-coding RNA from Planococcus citri (citrus mealybug), 1150 nucleotides. RefSeq lists it as uncharacterized. The record is from RefSeq and is a predicted model, not a curated record. The transcript has 5 exons. NCBI's taxonomy places the organism in Eukaryota, Metazoa, Arthropoda, Insecta, Hemiptera, Pseudococcidae.